UAGGGAAUCUUCCACAAUGGGCGAAAGCCUGAUGGAGCAAUGCCGCGUGAGUGAAGAAGGAUUUCGGUUCGUAAAACUCUGUUGUAAGGGAAGAACAAGUAGCGUAGUAACUGGCGUUACCUUGACGGUACCUUAUUAGAAAGCCACGGCUAACUACGUGCCAGCAGCCGCGGUAAUACGUAGGUGGCAAGCGUUGUCCGGAAUUAUUGGGCGUAAAGCGCGCGCAGGUGGUUCUUUAAGUCUGAUGUGAAAGCCCACGGCUCAACCGUGGAGGGUCAUUGGAAACUGGGGAACUUGAGUGCAGAAGAGGAUAGUGGAAUUCCAAGUGUAGCGGUGAAAUGCGUAGAGAUUUGGAGGAACACCAGUGGCGAAGGCGACUAUCUGGUCUGUAACUGACACUGAGGCGCGAAAGCGUGGGGAGCAAACA
RNAcentral lists this ribosomal RNA (427 nucleotides) under uncultured Solibacillus sp. RNAcentral's name for it is "bacterial SSU rRNA". It matches the Rfam family "Bacterial small subunit ribosomal RNA", at positions 355 to 774 of the family's 1533-position model. Lineage: Bacteria; Bacillati; Bacillota; Bacilli; Caryophanales; Caryophanaceae. The record is from RNAcentral.